RNAcentral lists this transfer RNA (74 nucleotides) under Saccharomyces cerevisiae (brewer's yeast). It matches the Rfam family "tRNA". From Rfam's summary of the family: Transfer RNA (tRNA) molecules are approximately 80 nucleotides in length. Their secondary structure includes four short double-helical elements and three loops (D, anti-codon, and T loops). Lineage: Eukaryota; Fungi; Ascomycota; Saccharomycetes; Saccharomycetales; Saccharomycetaceae. The record is from RNAcentral.
CUUUCCGUGGCGUAAUAGCAACGCGUCUGACCUCUAAUCAGAAGAUUGUGGGGUUCGAACCCCCAUCGGGGACU